GUGAGGAAUUUUCCGCAAUGGGCGAAAGCCUGACGGAGCAAUGCCGCGUGAAGGAUGAAGGCCUAUGGGUUGUAAACUUCUUUUCUCAGAAAAGAAUUAUGACGGUAUCUGAGGAAUAAGCAUCGGCUAACUCUGUGCCAGCAGCCGCGGUAAGACAGAGGAUGCAAGCGUUAUCCGGAAUGAUUGGGCGUAAAGCGUCGGUAGGUUGUUUAAAAAGUAUUCUGUCAAAGAUUAGGGCUUAACCCUAGAUAGGCAGAAUAAACUUUUAAGCUAGAGUUUGGUAGAGGCAGAGGGAAUUCCCGGUGGAGCGGUGAAAUGCGUAGAUAUCGGGAGGAACACCAAAGGCGAAGGCACUCUGCUGGGCCAAUACUAACACUGAGAGACGAAAGCGAGGGGAGCAAAUGGGAUUAGAAACCCGAGUAGUCC
Molecule: ribosomal RNA, 426 nt
Filed under: uncultured bacterium
Lineage: Bacteria
Description: partial 16S ribosomal RNA
Rfam family: Bacterial small subunit ribosomal RNA
Source: RNAcentral